AAUAUUGCGCAAUGGAGGGAACUCGGACGCAGCGUCCCCGCGUGAGCGGUGAAGGAUUUCGGAUCGUAGAGCUCCGUGCUUGGGUAAGAUGGUCUUGGGGCCUGACCGCACCAAAGGUGGAAGCCCCGGCUAUAUAUGUGGAAGCAGCCGCGGUAAUACGUAGGGUCUAAGCGUUGGCCGGAAUUAUUGGGAGUAAAGGGUGAGUAGGCGGCCUUUUAAGUCGGGUGUGCAAGCCCACGGCUUAACCGUGGGAUUGCAUUUGAAACUCGAAGGCUUGAGUAUCGGAGAGGGUAGAGGAAUUCCCAGUGUAGCGGUGGAAUGCGUAGAUAUUGGGAGGAACACCAGUGGCGAAGGCGACUACCUGGACGAAAACUGACGCUGAGGCACGAAAGCUAGGGGAGCAAAC
RNAcentral lists this ribosomal RNA (406 nucleotides) under uncultured bacterium. RNAcentral's name for it is "partial 16S ribosomal RNA". It matches the Rfam family "Bacterial small subunit ribosomal RNA", at positions 360 to 773 of the family's 1533-position model. The record is from RNAcentral.